Molecule: ribosomal RNA, 492 nt
Filed under: uncultured bacterium
Lineage: Bacteria
Description: partial 16S ribosomal RNA
Rfam family: Bacterial small subunit ribosomal RNA
Source: RNAcentral
AGUGAACGCUGGCGGUAGGCCUAACACAUGCAAGUCGAACGGCAGCACAGUAAGAGCUUGCUCUUACGGGUGGCGAGUGGCGGACGGGUGAGGAAUACAUCGGAAUCUACUUUUUCGUGGGGGAUAACGUAGGGAAACUUACGCUAAUACCGCAUACGACCUACGGGUGAAAGCAGUGGAUCUUCGGACCUUGCGCGAUUGAAUGAGCCGAUGUCGGAUUAGCUAGUUGGCGGGGUAAAGGCCCACCAAGGGGACGAUCCGUAGCUGGUCUGAGAGGAUGAUCAGCCACACUGGAACUGGGACACGGUCAAGACUCCUACGGGAGGCAGCAGUGGGGAAUAUUGGACAAUGGGCGCAAGCCUGAUCCAGCCAUACCGCGUGGGUGAAGAAGGCCUUCGGGUUGUAAAGCCCUUUUGUUGGGAAAGAAAAGCAGCAGGUUAAUACCCAGCUGUUCUGACGGUACCCAAAGAAUAAGCACCGGCUAACUUCGUG